GAUGAACGCUGGCGGCGUGCCUAAUACAUGCCAGUCGAGCGAACAGACGAGGUUUUUGUUCCUCUGACGUUAGCGGCGGACGGGUGAGUAACACGUGGAUAACCUACCUAUAAGACUGGGAUAACUUCGGGAAACCGGAGCUAAUACCGGAUAAUAUAUUGAACCGCAUGGUUCUAUAGUGAAAGACGGACUUGCUGUUACUUAUAGAUGGAUCGGCGCCGCAUUAGCUAGUUGGUAAGGUAACGGUUUACCAAGGCAACGAGGCGUAGCCGACCUGAGAGGGGGAUCGGCCACGCUGGAACUGGGACACGGUCCAGACUCCUACGGGAGGCAGCAGUAGAGAAGCGACCGCAAUGCGCGAAAGCGUAACGUGGCGAAGCGGCGUGAGUGAUGAAAUGCUUCGGUUCGGAAAGCAAUGUUAUUAGGGCAGAAAAAAUGUGUAAGUAACGGUGCGGGGGUUGACGGUACCGAAUCAGAAAGCCACGGCUAACUACUU
This 496-nucleotide ribosomal RNA is filed under the name uncultured bacterium. RNAcentral describes it as "partial 16S ribosomal RNA". It matches the Rfam family "Bacterial small subunit ribosomal RNA", at positions 28 to 506 of the family's 1533-position model. The record is from RNAcentral.